This 482-nucleotide ribosomal RNA is filed under the name uncultured bacterium. RNAcentral's name for it is "partial 16S ribosomal RNA". It matches the Rfam family "Bacterial small subunit ribosomal RNA", at positions 30 to 507 of the family's 1533-position model. The record is from RNAcentral.
AUUGAACGCUGGCGGCAUGCCUUACACAUGCAAGUCGAACGGUAACGGGCCUUCGGGUGCCGCCGAGUGGCGAACGGGAGAGUAAUACAUCGGAACGUGCCCGAUCGUGGGGGAUAACGAGGCGAAAGCUUUGCUAAUACCGCAUACGAUCUACGGAUGACAGCAGGGGACCGCAAGGCCUUGCGCGGACGGAGCGGCCGAUGGCAGAUUAGGUAGUUGGUGGGAUAAAAGCUUACCAAGCCGACGAUCUGUAGCUGGUCUGAGAGGAUGAUCAGCCACACUGGGACUGAGACACGGCCCAGACUCCUACGGGAGGCAGCAGUGGGGAAUUUUGGACAAUGGGCGCAAGCCUGAUCCAGCCAUGCCGCGUGCAGGAUGAAGGCCUUCGGGUUGUAAACUGCUUUUGUACGGAACGAAAAGCCUUCUUUUAAUACAGGAGGGUCAUGACGGUACCGUAAGAAUAAGCACCGGCUAACUACGUG